UACCGUUCGAACAGGGCGGUACCUUGACGGUACCUAACCAGAAAGCCACGGCUAACUACGUGCCAGCAGCCGCGGUAAUACGUAGGUGGCAAGCGUUGUCCGGAAUUAUUGGGCGUAAAGCGCGCGCAGGCGGUUUCUUAAGUCUGAUGUGAAAGCCCCCGGCUCAACCGGGGAGGGUCAUUGGAAACUGGGGAACUUGAGUGCAGAAGAGGAGAGUGGAAUUCCACGUGUAGCGGUGAAAUGCGUAGAGAUGUGGAGGAACACCAGUGGCGAAGGCGACUCUCUGGUCUGUAACUGACGCUGAGGCGCGAAAGCGUGGGGAGCGAACAGGAUUAGAUACCCUGGUAGUCCACGCCGUAAACGAUGAGUGCUAAGUGUUAGAGGGUUUCCGCCCUUUAGUGCUGCAGCAAACGCAUUAAGCACUCCGCCUGGGGAGUACGGUCGCAAGACUGAAACUCAAGGAAUUGACGGAACCCCCGAGGAAUUGG
This 488-nucleotide ribosomal RNA is filed under the name Bacillus licheniformis. RNAcentral's name for it is "bacterial SSU rRNA". It matches the Rfam family "Bacterial small subunit ribosomal RNA", at positions 449 to 932 of the family's 1533-position model. Lineage: Bacteria; Bacillati; Bacillota; Bacilli; Caryophanales; Bacillaceae. The record is from RNAcentral.